GUUUUAAUAGUUUAUUUAAAAUAUUGAUUUUGUAAAUCAAAGAAAAAAAAUUUUUUUAAAACU
RNAcentral lists this transfer RNA (63 nucleotides) under Neodiprion lecontei (redheaded pine sawfly). RNAcentral's name for it is "tRNA-Thr". Lineage: Eukaryota; Metazoa; Arthropoda; Insecta; Hymenoptera; Diprionidae. The record is from RNAcentral.